This 206-nucleotide long non-coding RNA is filed under the name Elaeis guineensis (African oil palm). RNAcentral describes it as "long non-coding RNA (EGUI_LNC056921)". The record is from RNAcentral. Lineage: Eukaryota; Viridiplantae; Streptophyta; Magnoliopsida; Arecales; Arecaceae.
CCUGAUCAACCAUCAAAGAAGGAUCAGCGCAGUACUAGCAUACUGUGCUGAUUUUCUGAAGCAGGACUUCUGAUCGAGAUUCGUGGGCUCGUGUGGACGACUCCUAGAGGCCGGAUGCAUGUGCGGCUUACAACAUCAUCCUCAAGCUCAGAUCAACAAGGUUAGAACAUCUAACUUGCAAGGUAAUAGAUCUGAUCUAUUGUUUA